CGGCAACAGCUCAAAUUUGAAAUCUGGCCCUCGGGUCCGAAUUGUAAUUUGUAGAAGAUGCUUUGGGUAUGGCCCCGGUCUAAGUUCGUUGGAACACGACGUCAUAGAGGGUGAGAAUCCCGUAUGUGACUGGGUGCUUUUGCCUAUGUAAAGCUCUUUCGAC
RNAcentral lists this ribosomal RNA (163 nucleotides) under Helotiales sp. RNAcentral describes it as "partial large subunit ribosomal RNA". It matches the Rfam family "Eukaryotic large subunit ribosomal RNA", at positions 99 to 261 of the family's 3401-position model. Lineage: Eukaryota; Fungi; Ascomycota; Leotiomycetes; Helotiales. The record is from RNAcentral.